AGUGAACGCUGGCGGCAGGCCUAACACAUGCAAGUCGAACGGCAGCACAGUAAGAGCUUGCUCUUACGGGUGGCGAGUGGCGGACGGGUGAGGAAUACAUCGGAAUCUACUUUUUCGUGGGGGAUAACGUAGGGAAACUUACGCUAAUACCGCAUACGACCUACGGGUGAAAGCAGGGGAUCUUCGGACCUUGUGCGAUUGAAUGAGCCGAUGUCGGAUUAGCUAGUUGGCGGGGUAAAGGCCCACCAAGGCGACGAUCCGUAGCUGGUCUGAGAGGAUGAUCAGCCACACUGGAACUGAGACACGGUCCAGACUCCUACGGGAGGCAGCAGUGGGGAAUAUUGGACAAUGGGCGCAAGCCUGAUCCAGCCAUACCGCGUGGGUGAAGAAGGCCUUCGGGUUGUAAAGCCCUUUUGUUGGGAAAGAAAAGCAGCAGGUUAAUACCCCGCUGUUCUGACGGUACCCAAAGAAUAAGCACCGGCUAACUUCGUG
This 492-nucleotide ribosomal RNA is filed under the name uncultured bacterium. RNAcentral describes it as "partial 16S ribosomal RNA". It matches the Rfam family "Bacterial small subunit ribosomal RNA", at positions 29 to 507 of the family's 1533-position model. The record is from RNAcentral.